This 1545-nucleotide ribosomal RNA is filed under the name Salmonella enterica subsp. enterica serovar Braenderup. Its description in RNAcentral is "bacterial SSU rRNA". It matches the Rfam family "Bacterial small subunit ribosomal RNA". The record is from RNAcentral. Lineage: Bacteria; Pseudomonadati; Pseudomonadota; Gammaproteobacteria; Enterobacterales; Enterobacteriaceae.
AGAGUUUGAUCAUGGCUCAGAUUGAACGCUGGCGGCAGGCCUAACACAUGCAAGUCGAACGGUAACAGGAAGCAGCUUGCUGCUUUGCUGACGAGUGGCGGACGGGUGAGUAAUGUCUGGGAAACUGCCUGAUGGAGGGGGAUAACUACUGGAAACGGUGGCUAAUACCGCAUAACGUCGCAAGACCAAAGAGGGGGACCUUCGGGCCUCUUGCCAUCAGAUGUGCCCAGAUGGGAUUAGCUUGUUGGUGAGGUAACGGCUCACCAAGGCGACGAUCCCUAGCUGGUCUGAGAGGAUGACCAGCCACACUGGAACUGAGACACGGUCCAGACUCCUACGGGAGGCAGCAGUGGGGAAUAUUGCACAAUGGGCGCAAGCCUGAUGCAGCCAUGCCGCGUGUAUGAAGAAGGCCUUCGGGUUGUAAAGUACUUUCAGCGGGGAGGAAGGUGUUGUGGUUAAUAACCGCAGCAAUUGACGUUACCCGCAGAAGAAGCACCGGCUAACUCCGUGCCAGCAGCCGCGGUAAUACGGAGGGUGCAAGCGUUAAUCGGAAUUACUGGGCGUAAAGCGCACGCAGGCGGUCUGUCAAGUCGGAUGUGAAAUCCCCGGGCUCAACCUGGGAACUGCAUUCGAAACUGGCAGGCUUGAGUCUUGUAGAGGGGGGUAGAAUUCCAGGUGUAGCGGUGAAAUGCGUAGAGAUCUGGAGGAAUACCGGUGGCGAAGGCGGCCCCCUGGACAAAGACUGACGCUCAGGUGCGAAAGCGUGGGGAGCAAACAGGAUUAGAUACCCUGGUAGUCCACGCCGUAAACGAUGUCUACUUGGAGGUUGUGCCCUUGAGGCGUGGCUUCCGGAGCUAACGCGUUAAGUAGACCGCCUGGGGAGUACGGCCGCAAGGUUAAAACUCAAAUGAAUUGACGGGGGCCCGCACAAGCGGUGGAGCAUGUGGUUUAAUUCGAUGCAACGCGAAGAACCUUACCUGGUCUUGACAUCCACAGAACUUUCCAGAGAUGGAUUGGUGCCUUCGGGAACUGUGAGACAGGUGCUGCAUGGCUGUCGUCAGCUCGUGUUGUGAAAUGUUGGGUUAAGUCCCGCAACGAGCGCAACCCUUAUCCUUUGUUGCCAGCGAUUAGGUCGGGAACUCAAAGGAGACUGCCAGUGAUAAACUGGAGGAAGGUGGGGAUGACGUCAAGUCAUCAUGGCCCUUACGACCAGGGCUACACACGUGCUACAAUGGCGCAUACAAAGAGAAGCGACCUCGCGAGAGCAAGCGGACCUCAUAAAGUGCGUCGUAGUCCGGAUUGGAGUCUGCAACUCGACUCCAUGAAGUCGGAAUCGCUAGUAAUCGUGGAUCAGAAUGCCACGGUGAAUACGUUCCCGGGCCUUGUACACACCGCCCGUCACACCAUGGGAGUGGGUUGCAAAAGAAGUAGGUAGCUUAACCUUCGGGAGGGCGCUUACCACUUUGUGAUUCAUGACUGGGGUGAAGUCGUAACAAGGUAACCGUAGGGGAACCUGCGGUUGGAUCACCUCCUUACCUGAAAGAA